UACGUAGGGUGCGAGCGUUGUCCGGAAUUAUUGGGCGUAAAGGGCUCGUAGGCGGUUUGUCGCGUCGGGAGUGAAAACACCGGGCUUAACUCGGUGCUUGCUUUCGAUACGGGCAGACUAGAGGUAUGCAGGGGAGAACGGAAUUCCUGGUGUAGCGGUGAAAUGCGCAGAUAUCAGGAGGAACACCGGUGGCGAAGGCGGCAUCCUGGACCAUGACUGACGCUGAGGAGCGAAAGCCAGGGGAGCAAACGGG
Molecule: ribosomal RNA, 253 nt
Filed under: uncultured bacterium
Lineage: Bacteria
Description: partial 16S ribosomal RNA
Rfam family: Bacterial small subunit ribosomal RNA
Source: RNAcentral